This 77-nucleotide transfer RNA is filed under the name Caulobacter sp. RNAcentral's name for it is "tRNA-Arg". It matches the Rfam family "tRNA". From Rfam's summary of the family: Transfer RNA (tRNA) molecules are approximately 80 nucleotides in length. Their secondary structure includes four short double-helical elements and three loops (D, anti-codon, and T loops). The record is from RNAcentral. Lineage: Bacteria; Pseudomonadati; Pseudomonadota; Alphaproteobacteria; Caulobacterales; Caulobacteraceae. RNAcentral also lists the same sequence under 99 other names.
GCACCCGUAGCUCAGCUGGAUAGAGUGUCGCCCUCCGAAGGCGAAGGUCACAGGUUCGAAUCCUGUCGGGUGCGCCA